Molecule: transfer RNA, 62 nt
Filed under: Urodontus glabratus
Lineage: Eukaryota; Metazoa; Arthropoda; Insecta; Coleoptera; Anthribidae
Description: tRNA-His
Source: RNAcentral
AUUUAAAUAGUUUAAUAAAAAUAUUGAUUUGUGGAAUCAAAGAUGUUAAUUAACUUUAGAUA